AUCCUUUUCUGGUUCAUAAGCAGGAUGACUUGGUGUUCACACAUUUGUGUGACAUAUGCCUCCCUUUAAUCUUGUUAUACACUUGGCAUGUUACCCAUCUGAAG
This is a small nucleolar RNA of Sorex araneus (European shrew), 104 nucleotides long. Lineage: Eukaryota; Metazoa; Chordata; Mammalia; Eulipotyphla; Soricidae. The record is from Ensembl.